This 2518-nucleotide long non-coding RNA is filed under the name Homo sapiens (human). RNAcentral's name for it is "HSALNT0026449". Lineage: Eukaryota; Metazoa; Chordata; Mammalia; Primates; Hominidae. The record is from RNAcentral.
GGUGUCAUAUGGGUGACAUCACUCCCCCAGCUAGCCAAUGGCUGGGGGCCGGCUCCGCCCAUCUUCCUUUAUUAACUCGGAGGCCCCGCCCCUCCACCCCGCCCUCCGGGCUGCUUUGCAAAGAUGGGGGUGGGGGGAGAGGAGGCAUGUCUAGAAAUAUGUUAUUUUUAAAAAAUCCGCGUGUGUGCACAGAUGCGCCUGUUCCCGGGAUGCUCGGAAGCGGCGCGCGGCACCACGGGGAGCGGGCGGCCCGGGGCGAACCGGGAUGGUUCGGGCGCCGGCGCUAACCGAGGACCGGGUCCCGGGAGAGGCCCCGCGCGCCUUUGUGCCCAGUCCCCGGGAGGCCCGACGGCGACAGCGGACGGCGCGCGCUCACUCCCCGGGUGCACACACUCGGGCACGCGCCCAGCCUGAGACGGCGGCCUCCGCCCGGCUCGCGGUCAGCCGCGCCCGGCCUGCCCCGGGGUGGGCGCAGCUGCUCCCCGGCGAGCCCCUCGCGGGGCUCGGCCGCUCCCCCGGGUCGCCGCCCCGAGCCCGCCCGGUAGCCCCGCGGCGGCCCUGGCCGACGGAAGGUGGCGCUUGAAGACAGCAACCUUCCCGGCACGUGGGCUCUGCUCUCCUUUUCCCUUUCUCCCUUUUUGUAAGGCAAAGAAAUCAAUUUAAAGCUCGAGAGGCGGUGAGCUCCCUCCCCCGUUUUGCAUUUUUCUGUUUUGUCCUUUUUCUCCGUCUGUUUUCCCUCCUCGGUGGUGUUUGGGGACGCGGCUGUGCGGGUUGGGCUGCGCCGCGCCCCCGCGCGCCCCGCCCCGGGCGGGGGCCGGAGUAACGGUCUGCGGGGCCCUCGGGUUCAAGCUGGCCACUCCCAGGGCUGGCUCCGGAGCGGGCUCUGGGUCCCGCAGGCUCCAGCAAGCCCGCGCCCCGCCCGGCGUCCCUGCGAGGGGCCCGGCGCCCUCCUUCCCUUCUCCCUCUGCUCCCCGCCCCUCCUCUCCCCGCCCCGUCCUCUCCCCGCCCCUCCGCCGCUCCUUUCUCCUUCCCAGGCCUCCUCUUCCUCUUUGUCCUUCCCCCAUCCUCGGUCGCCAGCGCUUCUCCGGCAGCCUCGUCCUGAAAUCGUGCGAUUGUGAGCUAGAAGCCUUCUGGGUCACUCAUAAACCAAAGAGAAAAUAAGGUGCACUCGAGUUUCCCGUCUAAAUAUUUUCCCUGGAGAUGGAAAGGUGCGCUGGCGGCCGGGGAGCCGCGACCUGGGGCGCGCUGGGCCUCGCAGAGCAGCCGCGGACCCCGGCGAUCGUGCCGUGUUCGUCUCCUUUGUGUUUCUUUAUUGAGUCCCUACUACCUCUACGGAUAUUCUGGGGGCAAUUAAAGAAAAUCACCGCUUCAUAGGCAGCACAUAUUUCCCAUAGAAAUGUGGAAUGUAAGAAAGGCACAUAAAGCAAUCCAAGUUGCCUGCAGAUAUCCACAGCCUACUUCAGUCUCAGUAAUGCUCUUUUAACCUGGUUUUCAAUUUCAGCUAUAUGGAGAGUUGACAGAAAAUACAGGAUCAUCAAUCAAUGAUACAGUAAAUACAGAAUUCCUCACAGAUGAUGAAUGUUGUCCUUCAGCGUCUGUGGUCACUUCCACCUUUAACUAAAGUUGGAGUUGGAAGAAAGGCAAUGUGACUCCAAACUUCACAGUACCUCCAUCUUAGACAAACACGACUCUCUCCUUCACCUGCGUGCCAGCUGAGGGAGUUCUGUUCCAUUGCUGUCUCCGGGGACUCUGUCAGUAUAUUUGAUGUAAUACUUGUUUCUGUCCAUAAAACAUGUGAUGAUGAGAAGAUCGCAGUGCAGAUCCAAAAUCAUAUGCUCACUGCAGGCUUGGACUCCCUGCUGGAUGUUGUGUACGUGGAGGGCUCCUGCUUAUGCCACUAGGACAAAAUGACCGCUUUUGCUUAAGAGAUAUAGUUCCUACUGAUUUUUAUAAUUCCAUUAAGAGUCAAUCUUGUUUGGAAUGGGUUCAAUCCUUGCUACUGUCAUUCCAAUAGGAUUUGUUCAAGAAUCUAGGAUAUUUUGAUUAUUUACAGCAUAUUCCACAUUAAACCAGAAAAGAGAACCAUUUAUCUGUAUAUUAUUUCAGAUCACUAUGUGUCUUAGUAUUUUCUGAUAGGGAGUAUCAAUAUCCUUUAAUCAUUCAUUCACUUAUUUAUUUGUUAAAUAAAUGCUUAUUAAAUGUGUGUUCUGUCCCAGCCACCAUGUUCAGAAAAUUAAUGAAAAAACAUGGUUUCUACUUCAGUUCAACCCACAUGUAGAGUCAUGUAUUAUGUGACAGACAUUGGUUUCAGUGUUGAGGACAUAGAGGGGAAAACUCAGAAUUCAUGCCUCACAGAACUCAUAAUUCUGUUGGGUGAAACACAUACACACAUAGAACAUGUUAAACAUGAAUAUAGCAAUUAAAAAGAAACACUAUAGGAUAUUUUAGAGAAUAACUUCAUUUAAGAAUUACUUUCCAGUAUUUUCCACAAAGCAGAUAUGCUCAUUUUGAAAGGAAA